Paramuricea clavata is the source of this 113-nucleotide non-coding RNA. NCBI's taxonomy places the organism in Eukaryota, Metazoa, Cnidaria, Anthozoa, Malacalcyonacea, Plexauridae. The record is from the annotation of a GenBank genome assembly.
UGUACCCUGGUUCCAGAGGUUUAAAAACCUCUGGAACCAGGGUAUGUCUAGUGAUGAGAAUCAAGGAAUUUAUUUUAUGUGUUAAUAUAAACCAAGCCCGUUUAGCCGUUUAG